This 1322-nucleotide ribosomal RNA is filed under the name uncultured bacterium. RNAcentral describes it as "bacterial SSU rRNA". It matches the Rfam family "Bacterial small subunit ribosomal RNA", at positions 8 to 1377 of the family's 1533-position model. The record is from RNAcentral.
AGAGUUUGAUCAUGGCUCAGAACGUACGCUGGCGGCACGCCUAACACAUGCAAGUCGAACGAAGUAGCAAUACUUAGUGGCAGACGGGUGAGUAACAUGUAGGUAUCUGCCCUUUGGCCUGGAAUAACACGAGGAAACUUGUGCUAAUACCGGAUAAGUCUUUACGGAGAAAGCUUUAUGCACCAUUGGAUGAGCCUGCACUUGAUUAGUUUGUUGGUGGGGUAAUGGCCUACCAAGACUGUGAUCAAUAGCUGAUUUGAGAGGAUGAUCAGCCACAUUGGGACUGAGACACGGCCCAAACUCCUACGGGAGGCAGCAGUGGGGAAUCUUGCACAAUGGAGGAAACUCUGAUGCAGCGAUGCCGCGUGAGUGAAGAAGGCCCUUGGGUUGUAAAGCUCUUUCGUCGGGGAAGAAAAUGACUGUACCCGAAUAAGAAGGUCCGGCUAACUUCGUGCCAGCAGCCGCGGUAAUACGAAGGGACCUAGCGUAGUUCGGAAUUACUGGGCUUAAAGAGUUCGUAGGUGGUUGAAAAAGUUAGUGGUGAAAUCCCAGAGCUUAACUCUGGAACUGCCAUUAAAACUUUUCAGCUAGAGUAUGAUAGAGGAAAGCAGAAUUUCUAGUGUAGAGGUGAAAUUCGUAGAUAUUAGAAAGAAUACCAAUUGCGAAGGCAGCUUUCUGGAUCAUUACUGACACUGAGGAACGAAAGCAUGGGUAGCGAAGAGGAUUAGAUACCCUCGUAGUCCAUGCCGUAAACGAUGUGUGUUAGACGUUGGAAAUUUAUUUUCAGUGUCGCAGGGAAACCGAUAAACACACCGCCUGGGGAGUACGACCGCAAGGUUAAAACUCAAAUGAAUUGACGGGGACCCGCACAAGUAGUGGAGCAUGUGGUUUAAUUCGAAGAUACGCGCAGAACCUUACCAACACUUGACAUGUUCGUCGCGACUCUAAGAGAUUAGAGUUUUCGGUUCGGCCGGACGAAACACAGGUGCUGCAUGGCUGUCGUCAGCUCGUGUCGUGAGAUGUUGGGUUAAGUCCCGCAACGAGCGCAACCCUCACUUUUAGUUGCCAUCAUUAAGUUGGGCACUCUGAAAGAACUGCCAGUGAUAAGCUGGAGGAAGGUGGGGAUGACGUCAAGUCCUCAUGGCCCUUACGUGUUGGGCUACACACGUGCUACAAUGGUAUCUACAACAGGAAGCAAGACUGCGAAGUUAAGCAAAUCCCUAAAAGAUACCUCAGUUCGGAUUGCACUCUGCAACUCGAGUGCAUGAAGCUGGAAUUACUAGUAAUCGUGGAUCAGCGUGCCACGGUGAAUGCGUUCCCGG